RNAcentral lists this long non-coding RNA (238 nucleotides) under Elaeis guineensis (African oil palm). Its description in RNAcentral is "long non-coding RNA (EGUI_LNC024886)". The record is from RNAcentral. Lineage: Eukaryota; Viridiplantae; Streptophyta; Magnoliopsida; Arecales; Arecaceae.
GGCGGAGAACGUAACAAGGGAGGCGGUGGCGGCGUCGCCGGUGGGAGCGGAGGCAGAGGGAGAGGUCGCGGUGGGGUUGGGAUCAGACGCCGAGGUCUGGCCCGGAGUCUUGGAGCGUUGGCCGCGGCCCUCGUCAUUCUUCUCGGGAGCCAUGAGAGAGAGAGAGAGAGAGAGAGAGACGCAUCCCCGUUUGCUGGAAGGCCCAUAGCUUUAUAGAGAGAAUUUAUUACCAAAUCCC